CAAGGACCUGUCUUGUCUGUUAAUUAAAUGCCGUAACUUAUCUUUGGCUCGGCGUGUGUUGGUGUGGGACGAGGGGGUUCAGAACACGCUCUCUGUGUAUAUUUAACUCUCGUCAUAAUUUGUUUUUGUGUUGAACAAUCCCACACAUCUUUUAACAAGCAGGGUGUACGUGUUUUCGGUAAGAUUUCCGCUCAGCAUGUAAAUCUUCCUCCCUUUCACCGUAAACGUUAUCAUUGCAACAGUGGGGAGAAAGUUACUCUCACGUUCUCAACAACGGAUCCUUAGAUUUAUACUACCCAGUGGCUAGACAGAAAAAACCUAGUUUGGAAAAGGAGAAAAAUCCAGUAAUAUCUUAAAGGAUGAUAAACUUACGACACUGUGUGUUUUUGCACUCAAGUGUAUUUCGUCAGGGGAAGUACUGGAAGUAUCCUUUUAAAAAAAAAACACCCCUUUCCUCAUUAUUUCCAUUCUAUUUUCAUUUCUAAAAAGCCUCGGGAUAUUUUUUUCCCCCCCCCGUGCAGUGAAGAACAAAGAAAGUCUCUGUAUCCCGUUGCAGAAUUUCUCUCUGACCACACCUCUUGUUGGUUCUCCGCUCGUCUGGCGUGUUAUAUAUAGGGAGCAUCCUUCUGCUGCCUCUUCAGAUGAAGUCCAGCCACUUCCAGAAGCCGCACGCUGAAGAAAAAACCCCACGAGAAGGAUCCUUCACCCUCCAAAAAACGAUCCAAGCUGUUCUCAUGCCGUUUUCCCCACCACCUUUGAAAUCCAGGAUGGGGCAGGAAUCCUUCACUCUCCAUUUCCUGAAGGUCCUGAAGGAACUCCUGGCUUUCGUGCUGUUCAGUUACACCGUCUUGUUCGGAGCGCUGUUGCUGGCUGGCUGGACGACUUAUUUCCUCGUGCUAAAGUGACACCGCGUUCUGUCUGGAGCUCUGGAGACCUCGGCUGAACAAAUUAGCCUUUUCCUCUUGCAGUAUUUUGCCAGACUUUUAAUUUCGUUUCCUGGCCAUCCCGGCGCUUUUUAAAGGAACCACUUGGUUUCCGGCCUUAAGGUUUCAUUUUUAAAAUCUUAUUUCUCGAGUAUCAGAAUCUCGGGGAGUUACGAAACCGCUUCCUCUCUCUCCAGUCCAAUUUUUUUCUUUUUUAUAUAAUCUCGUGGGAAUAUCCAUAUUAAAAAGCUGGCAAGUUGCAACAUGCCUUUUAUUUCCUGAUAUUGUUUAAACGCUUCGAUGCCGACUUUUUCUCCUCGCUUCGUUUGAAGUCUGUAAUUAACUCCCGAUCUUCACUUUUGAAUUGUUUUUUACAUGAGGUUUUUAUAUAUUUCCGAUGUCAGCUUCCUCUUCCCCCAAAAAAAUAGCUCAAUAAAAUUAUUUGCAGGUC
This is a non-coding RNA of Thamnophis sirtalis, 1374 nucleotides long. The record is from RefSeq and is a predicted model, not a curated record. NCBI's taxonomy places the organism in Eukaryota, Metazoa, Chordata, Lepidosauria, Squamata, Natricidae.